Molecule: long non-coding RNA, 402 nt
Organism: Lagopus leucura (white-tailed ptarmigan)
Lineage: Eukaryota; Metazoa; Chordata; Aves; Galliformes; Phasianidae
Exons: 3
Source: RefSeq, a predicted model, not a curated record
GUGGCUCCUGAGUCCGGAAAUGUUUUUUUGUUCCUUUUUAUUUUUUCUUCUCCUUUUGCACUUCUUGAUGGCUCUGUGAGUGUGCAGGGUGGGAGGACAGACCCUGUCACGCUGCUGCCACUCGUGUUGCUUUCAUGGUGCUCACCACUUCUUCGUGUCACCCUAUGGAUCAAAAGAAAAACAACGAUACGAUUCCAGAAGAGCUAGUGUACUGCAGUAUGCUUCCAGGGUAAAGAUCUGUGCCAUACCUGCAGUUCUGAGUUGUUUGUAUAGUCAUUAGUUACGCAACUUCUUUCUUUGUGAUAAUGAACAAUUAUGAUUUGGUGUAACUAACCACUUCAGGUAAGAGUUACCCUGCUUUCGCUUGUGGUUUAACAUAUUCUACGUGAUGAAGGAUCUAUC